This is a long non-coding RNA of Amphiprion ocellaris (clown anemonefish), 857 nucleotides long. RefSeq lists it as uncharacterized. The transcript has 6 exons. NCBI's taxonomy places the organism in Eukaryota, Metazoa, Chordata, Actinopteri, Pomacentridae. The record is from RefSeq and is a predicted model, not a curated record.
UCCGUUUUCUGCCUUCUCUGAGAAUACACAGCCUCCGUCCUGGUGUUGAAAUGCAGCGACUCCGUUCAAAAACGCAGCCAGAAAAACUAUUUCAUAAUUCAACGUGUCAACUGGGAAGAAAUUGCAGUUUUCUUCUCUGAUGCACAGAUUUUACGACACGCUACUUUGGGUUUGCGGCAGAGAAAUAAGCAUGCGUUUCUAGGUAACGUCACAUGUUGCUUUUAAUGCUGUGGGAAAGGAAGCCGUCGCUUCUGUGCAUGAAUGGCAGCAAUCAGAGGAAGUGGUUUUGAGGGCUACGUCUGCAGUAUAUGAGGCUCCAGUUGGUGACGCUGAGUGGCAGGUCCUUAACUGCGUGAUUGCCAAUGUGAAGCUCAGGAAUUUCCUUACGCUGACUUUCCUGCAUGGCAAAGGCACAGGACUGAUUCCUUCCCUGCUGAAACAGCAAAUCCUUCAGACAGACAGGAGUUUGGUGAAUCAAGGUGUGGAGAGGCAGACAGAGUCGGUGUGAGCGGCAGUGUAGCGAGGCCAGUCGGGGAGAGAUAAGAAUACAAUAUGAUGACCUGUCAACCGUCACGCUGCGUGUGGGGGAUAUUCCCGAGUUCACUCAGGAGUUAAUCACCGUUGCAGAGAAAUAAGUCUGUCCUGCAGUUUCUUUGCUGUGAUGAAGAGCUACAGAUAUCAAGCUGCAGACAGAGGAGGAAAUGGGGAAUGACGCGCAGCAAGUGGUCCGGCUGACUGGGAAUGGAACUGAGGAUCUGACAUUCAGGACAUAUGUGCCCAUAUGGUAUGUGCCCUAACCACUCCGCUAUCGGGUCAAAGCUUUUUAACCAUUUGUUCUCUCUUUAAAUGUCACUUAA